This 567-nucleotide ribosomal RNA is filed under the name Camptothlipsis lingualongis. Its description in RNAcentral is "eukaryotic LSU rRNA". It matches the Rfam family "Eukaryotic large subunit ribosomal RNA", at positions 386 to 736 of the family's 3401-position model. The record is from RNAcentral. Lineage: Eukaryota; Metazoa; Arthropoda; Insecta; Hymenoptera; Braconidae.
CCUGUGAAACCUAAAAGUUCGAAAAGAGAGAUUCAACGUCAGUGGAUAUUGUAUUCACGUGAGUAGUGAUGUAAGUUUUUAGUAGAAGGGUCAAACCUUUUAUUAUAAUACUCGCACAUUUUCAUGUUAUUUUAUUGCAAUAUCUUGCCGGCGUGCACUUCUCUCUUAGUAGGACGUCCCGACCCGUUGAGUCUUGGCCUACGGCACAGAUGGUAGCCUUUAAUAUUUCGGUAUUAAAGACCUCUGUUGUACUCCUGGCUAAAGUACUCGACGGUAGUUUAAUGAUAUGGUGUUGAGCCGCAUAUGCGUCCGGCCUGUCGCAAGUAAUUGGUAUAUUCUGUAUUACUAUAGACUAAGUGCUAUGUAUAUGGUUAUACCGCUUUGCAUGACUGUGCUUUAGGACCGGCUUAUUCAUCUGUCAGGGACGCUUAGGCUUUGGGUACUCACAGGACCCGUCUUGAAACACGGACCAAGGAGUCUAACAUGUACGCGAGUCAUUGGGUAUAUAUUUUCCUUCGGGAAUUUAUAUAAAACAAACCUAAAGGCGAAAUGAAAGUAAAGGUUGAA